RNAcentral lists this ribosomal RNA (482 nucleotides) under uncultured bacterium. RNAcentral describes it as "bacterial SSU rRNA". It matches the Rfam family "Bacterial small subunit ribosomal RNA", at positions 28 to 507 of the family's 1533-position model. The record is from RNAcentral.
GACGAACGCUGGCAGCGUGCCUAACACAUGCAAGUCGAGCGAAGUGAUUUGGAGUGAAGUUUUCGGAUGGAACAAAGAAUCAUCUUAGCGGCGAACGGGUGAGUAACGCGUGAGAAACCUGCCUUUCACAAAGGGAUAGCCUCGGGAAACUGGGAUUAAUACCUUAUGAUACUCUUAGAUCGCAUGAUCUGAAAGUUAAAGUGUAAAGCGGUGAAAGAUGGUCUCGCGUCCUAUUAGCUAGUUGGUGAGGUAACGGCUCACCAAGGCUGCGAUAGGUAGCCGGCCUGAGAGGACGAUCAGCCACACUGGAACUGAGACACGGUCCAGACUCCUACGGGAGGCAGCAGUGGGGAAUAUUGCACAAUGGAGGAAACUCUGAUGCAGCGACGCCGCGUGAAUGAUGAAGGCCUUCGGGUCGUAAAGUUCUGUCCUUGGGGAAGAUAAUGACGGUACCUGAAAAACAAGCCACGGCUAACUACGUG